RNAcentral lists this ribosomal RNA (274 nucleotides) under uncultured bacterium. Its description in RNAcentral is "partial 16S ribosomal RNA". It matches the Rfam family "Bacterial small subunit ribosomal RNA", at positions 523 to 796 of the family's 1533-position model. The record is from RNAcentral.
AUACGGAGGGGGCUAGCGUUGUUCGGAAUUACUGGGCGUAAAGCGCGCGUAGGCGGAUAGUUAAGUCGGGGGUGAAAUCCCGGGGCUCAACCCCGGAACUGCCUCUGAUACUGGCUGUCUUGAGUUCGAGAGAGGUGAGUGGAAUUCCGAGUGUAGAGGUGAAAUUCGUAGAUAUUCGGAGGAACACCAGUGGCGAAGGCGGCUCACUGGCUCGAUACUGACGCUGAGGUGCGAAAGCGUGGGGAGCAAACAGGAUUAGAUACCCCAGUAGUCC